Long non-coding RNA from Lotus japonicus, 363 nucleotides. RefSeq lists it as uncharacterized. The record is from RefSeq and is a predicted model, not a curated record. The transcript is spliced from 2 exons. NCBI's taxonomy places the organism in Eukaryota, Viridiplantae, Streptophyta, Magnoliopsida, Fabales, Fabaceae.
UGGAUUAUAAAUUAGCAUGUUUUGUUAGUACUUUGAGAAGUGAACUAGGGUGGUCAUGGCUUCUAAGAGGUGCUCGCUUAUUUGGGUGGUUCUCUUUCUUUGUGUGUUGAGUUUCUCUGCCAAAAACACAAAAGCAUUAGCAAGGAACAUUAAUGCUGCAAGUACUUCUGAACUUUUUGCAGUUUCGGAUGAAAUGGGUCCAUGUAGGAAGCUAAUUGGCACACAACAGCGACCACCAUGCAAGCCUACAAAAGAUAAACCACGUUGCUACAAUUUUCUGUGAUCUGGGAUGUGUUGUGUAUUGCAAUUGAACUGAUGAAAAAUGAGAGAGAAUAAAUGGAACUGUUUAUUGGAUUAGAUUAA